Myxocyprinus asiaticus (Chinese sucker) is the source of this 3985-nucleotide long non-coding RNA. RefSeq lists it as uncharacterized. The record is from RefSeq and is a predicted model, not a curated record. NCBI's taxonomy places the organism in Eukaryota, Metazoa, Chordata, Actinopteri, Cypriniformes, Catostomidae. The transcript is spliced from 3 exons.
CAUACACAAUCCCUCAACUCUACUGUAAUCUCAUCCUCAAACAGACCACACACAGACUAUUCAUGGACAGCCUAAAUGUCACAUGAAGAACACAAACCAUGGUUGGUCUCUUGACCAACCAAACAGUCCCUUCCUGUCUAAGUGGGCUGUUCUUGGUCAGGAUAGGCUGAGAAGUGUACCAGAUUACUUGCCGAUCAUCAAAGAGUUGGCCCUGGUUGACUUGCUUUGUAAUGAGAGAAUUCCCAGUUCUGAUCUGCAUAGUGCAUCAUCUGUUUCUCUCUUCCUCCUCUCUCACUCCCACCAUCAGCAGAGCCACUGGUCUGUUAAACACUCCACCAUUUGCAUCCCAUUUCACAGCAGCUGGCGCUCUUCCAAGCAGUACUUAAAUAAUCUUCUACAUUCUCACUGACUUUUCUCACACACAUACAUACACACACACACACACACUCCUCUAUCUUGUUCCUGCACUCUUUCAGGCAAUGCUAUAAGUCUCCAUCUUGAAUUGUCCUUCCCAUCUAAAUUCAUUCCUGUCCUUCAAACAAGAGCAGUCUGCAUGUGAUUUCUGUGCGUGAUUACAGCCUACUGUACAUUAUCAGUUGUUAUACAUGUGCAGAGACAACUAGACAUUUACAUUUCUGAAUAAAAUGUGAAAAAAGUGUGUCUGUGCAAAACGUACCACAAUGCUAAGGCGUUGCUAUAAGGUUGCAAAAUAAGUUGUUCUGAGUGGUUGUUAGCAUGUUUCCCCUUACAAAAAUCGAGAGUUCAUGGCAAAUUUGCCGCAAACUUGCCGCAAAUUCACACCUGAUCAUUUUCACAUGCCAAUGAGCAUUGCUGCAAACUUGCGUUAAAUUGUCGAUUGUUGCCAAAGGUUCACCACUGGUGAAGAGCUGCAAACUUCUGGCAAACAUUUGCAGCGAAUUACAAGCUCAUUUGCAUGUGAAAAUAAUGAGUGGCAAAUUUUCGGCAAGUUUGUGGCUAGUUUACCAGAACUCUUGAGUUUUUGUCAGGGGCUAGAUGAUUACUAAGGUGCUCUCAGUGGUUGCUAGCGGGUUGUUAUAGCGUGUUCUGAGAUAAAGGGGUUGUUUGAGUGGUUGUUUGUUAGCGUGUUGCUUUAUGGAUGCUAAGAAGUGGUUGUUAGCAUGUUGCUAUAUGGUAAGGUGUUCUGAGUGGUGUUAGCUUGUUGCUAUACAUUGCUAAGUUGUUCUGAGUGUCCUUUUAGUGUGUUUCUAUGUGGAUGCUAAGAGGUGGUUCUUAGCAUGUUGUUAUAUGGUUGAUAAGGUGUUCUGAGUGUUUUUUGCUUGUCACUAUACUGAUGCUAAGGUGUUCUUAGUGGUUUUUAGUGUGUUUCUAUGUGGAUGUUAAGGAGAGGUUUUUAGCCUGUUGCUGUACGGUUGCCAAGGUGUUCUGAGUGGUUAUUAGCCUGUUGCUAAGUGGUUGUUAGCGUGUGUUUCUGAGAUAAGGUGUUCUGAGUGGUUGUUUGUUAGUGUGUUGCUGUGCGGAUGCUAAGCAGUGAUUUUAGCAUUAUUUCUAAUAAUGGUCUUUAGCUUGUUGCUAUUUGGUUGUUAAGGUAUUCUGAGUGUUUUUAGUGUGUUUCUAUGUGGAUGCUAAGAGGUGGUUCUUAGCAUGUUGCUAUAUGGUUGCUAAGGUGUUCUGAGUGGUGUUAGCUUGUUGCUAUACAUUGCUAAGGUGUUCUGAGUGUCAUUUUAGUGUGUUUCUAUGUGGAUGCUAAGAGGUGGUUCUUAGCAUGUUGCUAUAUGGUUGCUAAGGUGUUCUGAGUGGUGUUAGCUUGUUGCUAUACAUUGCUAAGGUGUUCUGAGUGUCAUUUUAGUGUGUUUCUAUGUGGAUGCUAAGAGGUGGUUCUUAGCAUGUUGCUAUAUGGUUGCUAAGGUGUUCUGAGUGGUGUUAGCUUGUUGCUAUACAUUGCUAAGGUGUUCUGAGUGUCCUUUUAGUGUGUUUCUAUGUGGAUGCUAAGAGGUGGUUCUUAGCAUGUUGUUAUAUGGUUGAUAAGGUGUUCUGAGUGUUUUUUGCUUGUCGCUAUACUGAUGCUAAGGUGUUCUUAGUGGUUUUUAGUGUGUUUCUAUGUGGAUGUUAAGGAGAGGUUUUUAGCAUGUUGCUGUACGGUUGCCAAGGUGUUCUGAGUGGUUAUUAGCCUGUUGCUAAGUGGUUGUUUGCGUGUGUUUCUGAGAUAAGGUGUUCUGAGUGGUUGUUUGUUAGCGUGUUGCUGUGCGGAUGCUAAGCAGUGGUUUUAGCUUUUUCUAUAUUGUUGUUAAGGUUUUCUGAGUGGUCUUUAGCUUGUUGCUAUUUGGUUGUUAAGGUAUUCUGAGUGUUUUUAGUGUGUUUCUAUGUGGAUGCUAAAAAGUGCUUCUUGGAAUGUUGCUAUAUGGUUGCUUAGGUGUUCUGAGUAGUGUUUAGCUUGUUGCUAUACGGUUGCCAAGGUUUUCUGAGUGGUUGUUAGCUUGUUGCUAUUUGGUUGUUAAGGUAUUCUGAGUGUUUUUAGUGUGUUUCUAUGUGGAUGCUAAAACGUGCUUCUUGGCAUGUUGCUAUAUGGUUGCUUUGGUGUUCUGAGUAGUGUUUAGCUUGUUGCUAUACGGUUGCCAAGGUUUUCUGAGUGGUUGUUAGCUUGUUGCUUUACAGAUGCCAAGGAGUGGCAGAGAUCGGAUCAAAGUUAGCCACGCAAAAUGGAAAAUGCUGUCUAUCAGGAACUCACUGAUCCUUUUGAAUACAAAAGAGGCUUUUCAUCAGCUUGUCAUGUUUUGGUAUCUUUUUCUCUUCUAAUAUGUUCUGAUCCUGAGGCCGUGUCUGGAAGGAAGCUGGACGCCUUGUGACUGACUGUGAUGGAUCCUCACUUGUUUCUCCCUGCCUUGUCUGGUUACUCUCCCACCAGAUGGAACAACUGUUCACUUGCCCCCCCACUUUCCUACUUGUUCUGGCAUUGUGAUGACAUUUUAGGUUGUGCAGACAUUGCCAGUUAUCUUUGUUUAACCGUCCAUCCACUUAACCCUGUUAAUAUUUUGACAGGAUGUACCAUGGACUUGGCAUUGAGAUUCAACAUCAGAUCAGCUUCACAUUUGAUAUUUUGUCAAUUAUUUUUACAUAACCUUUCUGUUUUUUUUAUAAAUGAUUCCAAGUUCAGUCAUGAAACUCUACAUAUCACAAGCUGAUAGGUCCUUUGACAUGUUAUGUGGUAGCCAAUCGACUAGCAUACUCUUUCUUUGUCUAACAUUUAAAUAGCCUCAGUCGUUUGCAAGUACAGUAAGUAGGGUUUACUGCAGCACACUACAAGGGUUUUCUCUUUGAAACCCUCCUCCUUCCCAGCACCACAUGACGAGAUCUGAUUCAAAGGGAUUGCAUGUAUGUCUAAUUGUGUCAAAUUUAAACCUGGAAACAAAGUUUUUGGAUUCUGAAAUAUUGAAACAAAGAAAAUGUAUGACGCAAAAUGAAUAAGAAAAGUUUAUGCAGUUAAUUUGGUCAAUGUCACAAAUUUUCUUACAUUUCAUUAGUGACCUAGAAAUCCUGUGAUGUUCCCUUCAUGUUCUGUCAAAAUGUUUGUUUUAAUUUAAAAAAAAAAAAAAACAACCAAAAACUUUAUUUUCAGUUUGAAAUAACAUUUGGACUCAGGACUUCACUGUAUAUAUUUUAAUAUCAGUCAACUAAGUUCAAUUGAUGCAGGCUGAAAAAGCGCCCCCACUCCCUGGCUUCGUCGCCCAUGUCUACCAGCAUUCCUGUUCCUGGAUCUUCUUCAAAGUUUCCGACAGGCUGUUCUCUCUCUCUCUAUCCGUCUUUUUCUUUACCUAUCUGGUGAAGCUUUCUCUGCAGGGACUGAAUGUCCAGUAUUGAUCAAGCCCAACAAACCUCAACACAAUAUCAACUAAUCAAACUCUGUUCAUAAAGCUCCUGAGUGGGACUAUACUGCUCUGUUCCUGCUCUUAUUUAUCACUGUACAAUCUAAUUCUCUCAUUCUCUCUCUCUGUUCAUCUCAUCCCAU